Molecule: ribosomal RNA, 332 nt
Filed under: uncultured Gemmatimonas sp.
Lineage: Bacteria; Pseudomonadati; Gemmatimonadota; Gemmatimonadia; Gemmatimonadales; Gemmatimonadaceae
Description: bacterial SSU rRNA
Rfam family: Bacterial small subunit ribosomal RNA
Source: RNAcentral
CGCGUAGGCGGCUUGGUAAGGGGGCGGUGAAAGCCCGGGGCUCAACCCCGGGUCUGCCGGACCGACUGCCGAGCUUGAGCACACUAGGGGCAGGUGGAAUUCCGGGUGUAGCGGUGGAAUGCGUAGAGAUCCGGAAGAACACCGGUGGCGAAGGCGGCCUGCCGGGGUGUGGCUGACGCUGAGGCGCGACAGCGUGGGGAGCAAACAGGAUUAGAUACCCUGGUAGUCCACGCCGUAAACGAUGGGCACUAGGUGCUCGGGGGAGCGACCCCUUGGGUGCCGGCGCUAACGCAUUAAGUGCCCCGCCUGGGGAGUACGGCCGCAAGGCUGAA